This 301-nucleotide ribosomal RNA is filed under the name uncultured bacterium. RNAcentral's name for it is "partial 16S ribosomal RNA". It matches the Rfam family "Bacterial small subunit ribosomal RNA", at positions 509 to 807 of the family's 1533-position model. The record is from RNAcentral.
CAGUAGCCGCGGUAAUACGAAGGGGGCUAGCGUUGCUCGGAAUUACUGGGCGUAAAGGGCGCGUAGGCGGACAGUUAAGUUGGGGGUGAAAGCCCGGGGCUCAACCUCGGAAUUGCCUUCAAUACUGGCUGUCUUGAGUAUGAGAGAGGUGUGUGGAACUCCGAGUGUAGAGGUGAAAUUCGUAGAUAUUCGGAAGAACACCAGUGGCGAAGGCGACACACUGGCUCAUUACUGACGCUGAGGCGCGAAAGCGUGGGGAGCAAACAGGAUUAGAUACCCGCGUAGUCCCUGUCUCUUAUAC